UAACAAGGAUUCCCCUAGUAACGGCGAGUGAAGCGGGAAGAGCUCAAAUUUGAAAGCUGGCGCCUUCGGUGUCCGCAUUGUAAUCUAGAGAGGUGUUUUCCGCGCCGGACCGCGUACAAGUUCCUUGGAACAGGACGUCAUAGAGGGUGAGAAUCCCGUACUUGACGCGGACGCCCGGUGCUUUGUGAUACACCCUCCACGAGUCGAGUUGUUUGGGAAUGCAGCUCAAAAUGGGUGGUAAAUUCCAUCUAAAGCUAAAUAUUGGGGAGAGACCGAUAGCGAACAAGUACCGUGAGGGAAAGAUGAAAAGCACUUUGGAAAGAGAGUUAAACAGUACGUGAAAUUGUCGAAAGGGAAGCGCUUGAAGUCAGACAUGCUUGCUAGGACUCAGCCUUGCUUUUGCUUGGUGCAUUUCCUGGUGAGCAGGCCAGCAUCGGUUUUGUCCGCCGGAUAAGGGUAGGAGGAACGUGGCACCUCCGGGUGUGUUAUAGCCUCCUACUGGAUACGGCGGAUGGGACCGAGGAACGCAGUGUGCCCUUGUGGCGGGCCUUCGGGUACCUUCGCACUUAGGAUGCUGGCGUAA
This 583-nucleotide ribosomal RNA is filed under the name Robbauera albescens. RNAcentral describes it as "LSU rRNA". It matches the Rfam family "Eukaryotic large subunit ribosomal RNA", at positions 66 to 634 of the family's 3401-position model. The record is from RNAcentral. Lineage: Eukaryota; Fungi; Basidiomycota; Exobasidiomycetes; Robbauerales; Robbaueraceae.